GUCUACGGCCAUGCUACCCUGAACAAGCCCGAUUCUGUCUGAUCUCAGAAGCUAAGCAGGGUCGAGCCUGGUUAGUACUUGGCUGGGAGACCACCUAGGAAGAACAGGUGCUGUAGGCG
This 119-nucleotide ribosomal RNA is filed under the name Pteropus alecto (black flying fox). Lineage: Eukaryota; Metazoa; Chordata; Mammalia; Chiroptera; Pteropodidae. The record is from RNAcentral.